AUUGAACGCUGGCGGCAGGCCUAACACAUGCAAGUCGAACGGUAACAGGAAGCAGCUUGCUGCUUCGCUGACGAGUGGCGGACGGGUGAGUAAUGUCUGGGAAACUGCCUGAUGGAGGGGGAUAACUACUGGAAACGGUAGCUAAUACCGCAUAACGUCGCAAGCCCAAAGAGGGGGACCUUAUGGCCUCUUGCCAUCGGAUGUGCCCAGAUGGGAUUAGCUAGUAGGUGGGGUAACGGCUCACCUAGGCGACGAUCCCUAGCUGGUCUGAGAGGAUGACCAGCCACACUGGAACUGAGACACGGUCCAGACUCCUACGGGAGGCAGCAGUGGGGAAUAUUGCACAAUGGGCGCAAGCCUGAUGCAGCCAUGCCGCGUGUAUGAAGAAGGCCUUCGGGUUGUAAAGUACUUUCAGCGGGGAGGAAGGGAGUAAAGUUAAUACCUUUGCUCAUUGACGUUACCCGCAGAAGAAGCACCGGCUAACUCCGUG
RNAcentral lists this ribosomal RNA (490 nucleotides) under uncultured bacterium. Its description in RNAcentral is "partial 16S ribosomal RNA". It matches the Rfam family "Bacterial small subunit ribosomal RNA", at positions 30 to 507 of the family's 1533-position model. The record is from RNAcentral.